GCCCUUGUAGCUCAGUGGUAGAGCGUCAGUCUUGUACUUAGGCACCAAAGCAGUGUCUUUGCCUGCUCCUUUGAUAAUAAACUGAAGGUCAUUCGUUCAAACCGGGUCUGGGGCA
Molecule: transfer RNA, 115 nt
Filed under: Mycosarcoma maydis (corn smut)
Lineage: Eukaryota; Fungi; Basidiomycota; Ustilaginomycetes; Ustilaginales
Description: tRNA-Thr for anticodon UGU
Rfam family: tRNA
About the family: Transfer RNA (tRNA) molecules are approximately 80 nucleotides in length. Their secondary structure includes four short double-helical elements and three loops (D, anti-codon, and T loops).
Source: RNAcentral